This 2081-nucleotide long non-coding RNA is filed under the name Anas platyrhynchos (mallard). RNAcentral describes it as "lncRNA (ENSAPLG00020004138.1)". The record is from RNAcentral. Lineage: Eukaryota; Metazoa; Chordata; Aves; Anseriformes; Anatidae.
AACAUCGAGCGCAGCCUGGAAGCCCUUGGCAUCAAGGUGGGCAGGCCGGGGGCUGCCCUGUGCUCGGCGGGGCCGGGGACGGUGCCGUGAGCGGGGAGCACGGCCCCUGAGCCCCCUGAGCCGUGCCUCCCUCCCAGGUCUCAUCCCUGAAGGAGCUCACGGGUGCCUACGACGGGAGCUCGGACUCCUUUCUGCCCGUGGCCGAGCGGCUGCGGGGGCAGAAGGGCAGCCGGGGGGAGCCAGGAGAGAGGGGACCCCCGGGACGGGAGGUGAGCGCUGCCGGGCUCCGGGGACCCCUGUGGGCACCUCCCCAUCCCCGUGCUGUGCCCAAAUUCAUGGCUUUGCGUCCCCCUUCCCGGCUAGCUUGGAGACCCAGCCGAUCUUGGGAUGUAGUUAUUGUUUAUUUUUUUUUCUUGCAGGGCUCUUUAGGCUUCCCCGGUGAGAGAGGACCCAAAGGUGACAAAGGGGACCAAGGUGCCCCCGGCCCCCAGGGUCCCAUGGGCCGGGCUGUGGGCGAGCGGGGCCCCGAGGGUCCACCCGGGCAGCCGGGGGAGCCUGGCAAGCCGGGCAUCCCGGGGGUACCGGGCCGGGCCGGGGAGCUGGGGGAGGCCGGACGGCCCGGGGAGAAGGUGAGUGGGGGGCUACGGGCUGGGGGAGACCCGGCCCUGGGCUUGGGGACAGCUCCGUGACCUCCCACUGCCUCCUUUCCCCAGGGCGACCGGGGUGAGAAGGCGACCGGGGCGAGCAGGUGAGCCCAAACUGGGGACAGUGUCCCCCCUCUGUCCCCCCUCUGUCCCCUCUCUGCCCACCGCUGAUGUGAUGGGGGCUCUCUGGGGAGCCCCAUGGGGGCCAGGGUCAGCCGGGCAGGGGCUGGCUCUGCCCCAUUUCCCUCCGCUGUCCCUUUGAUGCUCCACCUCUUUUCCUUAUGGCUAGGGCAGAGAUGGCUUGCCGGGCCCCCCCGGCCCCCCAGGGCCCAAGGCAGACGUGAUGGAGGGCAGCCUGAUGGGCUUCCCAGGGGAGCGCGGCCCCCCCGGACUCAAGGGAGCGAAGGGUGAGCCGGGUGCCGAGGGCGAGCGAGGACCCAAAGGAGAUAAGGGCGAAGGCGGGCAGCGGGGCGAGCGAGGAGAGCCUGGAGAGAAGGGCAGGGAUGGGUCCCCGGUGAGUAUGGCACUGCGCCUCCGUCCACAUCGUCCCCGUGGUCCCCAUCUUCAUCCCCAUGGUCUCCAACCCCGUCUCCAUCAUUCCCAUCAUCCUCAUCAUCCCCAUGUUCUCCACCUCUGUUUCCAACAUCCUCCUCAUCCCCAUGGUCUCCAACCCCAUCUCCAUCAUCCCCGUCCUCCUCAUCCCCAUGUUCUCCACCUCCAUUUCCAUCAUCCUCCUCGUCCCCAUGGUCUCCAUCCCCGUCCUCAUCAUCCCCAUGGUCUCUAUCCCCAUCCUCAUACUCAUGGUCUCCAUUUCCAUGGUCUCCAUCAUCCCCAUCCUCAUCCCCAUCCCCAUGGUCUCCAUCUCCAUUCCCAUCUCCAUCCCCAUCCCCAUGGCCCCAUCCCCACCCCACUGCCUCCACCUCUUCUUCCAGGGCCUCCCAGGAGAGAGGGGUCUGGCCGGCCCCGAGGGGAAACCGGGCUUGCCAGGCUUCCCCGGCGUGCUGGGACGCCCGGUAGGUCCCCGUGUCCCCCCCUGCGUGUCCCCGUGUCCCCCUGCAUGUCCCUGUUCCCCUGGUUCUUGCCCCGUGGGCGCUUGGCACGGCGCAUUCUGGUGGGAUCUGGCGGUGCUUGUCCCUGCUUGGCGCGGGUGCCCAGAGCCACCGUGGAGCGGGGACCCGCUGCCCACAUCUCUUCCUCCCCCUCCAGGGCAACCAGGGAGAGCCGGGACCACCAGGACCUCCGGGCACCGCUGGCCCCCCGGGGACCCAGGGCCCAGCUGGGAUGAAGGUAAAUCAUCAUCAUCAUCAUCAUCAUCAUCAUCACCAUCAUCAUCACCAUCACCACCACCAUAUUUGACCCCGCAGAGGAACGCGCGGUGCCCUGCAGGCACCAGGGGGCUGUGGGGAAAAACGUGGGGCUGGUCCCCUGCUGGAGCCA